Molecule: long non-coding RNA, 1193 nt
Filed under: Musa acuminata (dwarf banana)
Lineage: Eukaryota; Viridiplantae; Streptophyta; Magnoliopsida; Zingiberales; Musaceae
Description: long non-coding RNA (MACU_LNC002261)
Source: RNAcentral
CACAGGCACUCGAGCAAGGCGAGCCAUGAGCACCAAGAGCCUUGCAAAAAACUAAGGCAAGACGAUUAAAUCAAAUGGUGCCUAGGCAAGUGCCCGAGGCGAGGUGUUGGAUGGCUUAGGUGCUCGCCUGGCCCAACCUAGAUGCCUCACUAGCCUAGUCCACUCCAAUAGAGCUUAAAUCAAAGCCUAAGCCUAAUCAAAGUUGAUGAAUUGAUUGACUAAACCAAUUCACUAAUGGUUCUUCAAUCCCUCGAACUCCUUUCAUGCUGGUGACACCAUAGCUUCUUCAUUACCACCAUGACCACUUGGUAUUCAUCAUUGCGACCUUCGAAGGCCUAUCAUUGCCGUUGUGAUUUUUGCGGAUAAGUGUCUUCACCUUUUUCUCUUAUAGCUCUUCUCUAAUUGUUGUUAUACUCGCUAUUGCUUAUGCAAUGAUUUUCAUCUCCAUCUCCGCGUCCAACAACUAUUCUCCAAUCGACUAUCACUAUGUUGCCCGCUGUGAAUUUUCUUACAAUAGCCUCUGACAACUAUUCUUCAACCACCAGCAACCACCACCAUGAUUUUCACUUACAAUCGCCUUCAAGAGCUAUUCUCUGAUCACUUUCGCUUGCGACAAGUCUUCUCCAAUUGAUUGUUGUUGCGCUAUGACCUUUGCCAACAACCACCUCCACUUCUCUCAGUGCUUUUAUAACUGCCUACUUACCUACUAUUGUCAUUGUGAUUCAUGCCGAUGAUCACUUCGCCUCCAUCUUCGUCUCCAAUGGCUUCUCCUUGUGUUCUCCUACAGCCUACUUGUUUGUGGUGAUCACCGUUUUUUUCAAUUAUAUUAUUUUUAACCUGAUUAGUAAUUUUUUAAAUUAUAAUGGUGAGUGUCUCACUUUCGUUGACGGGAUAGCUUAAUCGAAUGUCUAACACCUCAGCUUUUUGGAAUUUUGCACCUUUGACAACACAGAAGACAAAGCAUUAACUAAGUCAUUUUGUCAUACUCUGAGCACAAUUUAUAUAUAAACUUUAUAUGACAAAUACUUACAUGUAACUGGGUAGAGUAAGAAAGGUAAUCAAAAGGUAGGACUGGAUCAUCUGCUAGCCGAAGACCUAAGAGGCCCCAAAGUUCAGCAACUGAGAAACAUGCAACAAACUCAAUAACUGAAAUAAUUAUGGAUAAAGAAUCAACUGAAAGCAACAUUUCUAAG